Molecule: ribosomal RNA, 492 nt
Filed under: uncultured bacterium
Lineage: Bacteria
Description: partial 16S ribosomal RNA
Rfam family: Bacterial small subunit ribosomal RNA
Source: RNAcentral
AGUGAACGCUGGCGGUAGGCCUAACACAUGCAAGUCGAACGGCAGCACAGUAAGAGCUUGCUCUUACGGGUGGCGAGUGGCGGACGGGUGAGGAAUACAUCGGAAUCUACUUUUUCGUGGGGGAUAACGUAGGGAAACUUACGCUAAUACCGCAUACGACCUACGGGUGAAAGCAGGGGAUCUUCGGACCUUGCGCGAUUGAAUGAGCCGAUGUCGGAUCGGCUAGCUGGCGGGGUAACGGCCCACCAAGGCGACGAUCCGUAGCUGGUCUGAGAGGAUGAUCGGCCACACUGGAGCUGAGACAGGGUCCAGACUCCUACGGGAGGCAGCAGUGGGGAAUAUUGGACAAUGGGCGCAAGCCUGAUCCAGCCAUACCGCGUGGGUGAAGAAGGCCUUCGGGUUGUAAAGCCCUUUUGUUGGGAAAGAAAAGCAGCAGGUUAAUACCCCGCUGUUCUGACGGUACCCAAAGAAUAAGCACCGGCUAACUUCGUG